AGGGCACCGGCACCGGCAGCAGCGUGCUCGGCUGUGGAUGAGGCACGGGCUGGCCGCGGGCCAGCACCGCUGAGUGUGGGCCGGUGUUUAAAUAGGCAAUUUGCGUGGGCAAAUAUAUGAAAUAAUGUAUGCAAGGACAGAUGUCUGUCAGAGUGGAGUGAACACAUACACACGUGAGAAGAAUUGUAUGUUAUCAGUGAGCUUUCUGGAUGCUAUGAAAAGGGGCACCUGACCUUGCACAGACUACAAAGACACAUGCGCACAUAAAAGGAGACUGAGGCUGUGAGAUAUACAUAUGAUCACAGAAUCCCAGAAGAAGGUUGAAAAAGACUUCCAAGACCAUCAAGUCCAACCUUUAACCAGUCACCAGCUGGACAAGACCACUGAAUGCCGCAUGCAGUCACUCCUUGAAAAUGUCCAAGGAUGGUGACUCCACCACCAAUGGAUCCCCCAUUUCCCCCCUCCACCCCAAGCAAGAGAAUGAGUCAAAACUCUCUGGAUUUGUGAAUGUCCGGAUUGUGGUAACAAUGGGGUGUUGGGAUAAUACAGGAGAAGGUGGAUGUGUCUGAAGAAACCACAUCCAUCCCAUGGAGUUCCAUCCCAUGGAGUACCCACAUUGGAGCAGGAGAAAUGCUAGGAAGGAUGAGCAGCAGAGGGAGUUUUUAUGCACUGACCACAUCCCCCAUUCCCCAUCCCCACUGCACUGCCCGGGCUGGAGGGAAAGAGGAGUUGGGGAUGUGAAGUUGAGCCUGAGAAAAAAAGUGGUUUAAGUCUUGUCUUGGUUUCUCACCA
This is a long non-coding RNA of Hirundo rustica (Barn swallow), 792 nucleotides long. RefSeq lists it as uncharacterized. The record is from RefSeq and is a predicted model, not a curated record. NCBI's taxonomy places the organism in Eukaryota, Metazoa, Chordata, Aves, Passeriformes, Hirundinidae. The transcript is spliced from 3 exons.